CCUACGGGAGGCAGCAGUGGGGAAUUUUGGACAAUGGGCGAAAGCCUGAUCCAGCCAUUCCGCGUGAGUGAAGAAGGCCUUCGGGUUGUAAAGCUCUUUCGCAAGGGAAGAAAACUUAGUCUCUAACAUAGACUGAGGUUGACGGUACCUUGAUAAGAAGCACCGGCUAACUACGUGCCAGCAGCCGCGGUAAUACGUAGGGUGCGAGCGUUAAUCGGAAUUACUGGGCGUAAAGCGUGCGCAGGCGGUUUUGUAAGUCAGAUGUGAAAUCCCCGAGCUCAACUUGGGAACUGCGUUUGAAACUACAAGACUAGAAUAUGUCAGAGGGGGGUAGAAUUCCACGUGUAGCAGUGAAAUGCGUAGAGAUGUGGAGGAAUACCAAUGGCGAAGGCAGCCCCCUGGGAUAAUAUUGACGCUCAUGCACGAAAGCGUGGGGAGCAAACAGGAUUAGAUACCCUGGUAGUCCACGCCCUAAACGAUGUCUACUAGUUGUUGGUGGAGUAAAAUCCAUGAGUAACGCAGCUAACGCGUGAAGUAGACCGCCUGGGGAGUACGGUCGCAAGNUUAAAACUUAAGGAAUUGACGGNNGAGAGNGCGAGACGACGACGAGGAGAGG
Molecule: ribosomal RNA, 616 nt
Filed under: uncultured bacterium
Lineage: Bacteria
Description: bacterial SSU rRNA
Rfam family: Bacterial small subunit ribosomal RNA
Source: RNAcentral